GUGGGGAAUAUUGGACAAUGGGCGAAAGCCUGAUCCAGCAAUGCCGCGUGUGUGAUGAAGGCCCUAGGGUUGUAAAGCACUUUCGCCGAUGACGAUGAUGACGGUAGUCGGAUAAGAAGCCCCGGCUAACUCCGUGCCAGCAGCCGCGGUAAUACGGAGGGGGCGAGCGUUGUUCGGAAUUACUGGGCGUAAAGGGCGCGUAGGCGGUGACGUUAGUCGGGCGUGAAAGCCCCGGGCUCAACCUGGGAUGUGCGUUCGAUACUGCGUUGCUUGAGAGCGGAAGAGGGUAGUGGAAUUCCCAGUGUAGAGGUGAAAUUCGUAGAUAUUGGGAAGAACACCAGUGGCGAAGGCGGCUACCUGGUCCGUUUCUGACGCUGAGGCGCGAAAGCGUGGGGAGCAAACAGGAUUAGAAACCCCAGUAGUCC
RNAcentral lists this ribosomal RNA (425 nucleotides) under uncultured bacterium. Its description in RNAcentral is "bacterial SSU rRNA". It matches the Rfam family "Bacterial small subunit ribosomal RNA", at positions 354 to 796 of the family's 1533-position model. The record is from RNAcentral.